GACGAACCGUCCAAACGUUAUUCGGAAUCACUGGGCUUAAAGGGUGCGUAGGCGGCGCGGAAAGUUGGGUGUGAAAUCCCUCGGCUCAACCGAGGAAUUGCGCCCAAAACUUCCGUGCUCGAGGAAGAUAGAGGUGAGCGGAACUUAGGGUGGAGCGGUGAAAUGCGUUGAUAUCCUAAGGAACACCGGUGGCGAAAGCGGCUCACUGGAUCUUUUCUGACGCUGAGGCACGAAGGCUAGGGUAGCGAACGGG
This 253-nucleotide ribosomal RNA is filed under the name uncultured bacterium. RNAcentral's name for it is "partial 16S ribosomal RNA". It matches the Rfam family "Bacterial small subunit ribosomal RNA", at positions 524 to 776 of the family's 1533-position model. The record is from RNAcentral.